CAAAAAAUUAAGAGCUGACGGAGGAUACCUUGGCAUUUAGAAGCGAUGAAGGACGUGAUUACCAGCGAUAUGCUUCGGGGAGCUGGUAUAUAAGCUACAAUCCGGAGGUUUCCGAAUGAGGCAACUCUUUAAAACUUCUUAUUGAAUCUAUAGAUAGGAAAGAGCGAACCUGGAGAACUGAAACAUCUUAGUAACCAGAGGAAAAAAAAGUAAAAACUAUUCCCUGAGUAGUGGCGAACGAAACGGGACUGAGCCAAAACUUUUUAAUUUUUUUAAGAAGGGUAGCGGGACAGUACUUUACCACCGUCACAGAAAAUCUUUAAUGUAUUAAAUAUAAGAAUUAGCUGAAUUAACUGGAAAG
Molecule: ribosomal RNA, 361 nt
Filed under: Fibrocapsa japonica
Lineage: Eukaryota; Raphidophyceae; Chattonellales; Chattonellaceae
Description: partial Bacterial large subunit ribosomal RNA
Rfam family: Bacterial large subunit ribosomal RNA
Source: RNAcentral